Molecule: unclassified non-coding RNA, 23 nt
Filed under: Trypanosoma pestanai
Lineage: Eukaryota; Euglenozoa; Kinetoplastea; Trypanosomatida; Trypanosomatidae
Source: RNAcentral
GUUCUUUUUUUUUUUUUUUUUUU